AGACAUGGAUACAUAAUAAGUAGUCCUUUAAAGAACAUAUGGAGAAGGUAGAGUCUCAACAGUUCAGAUAACUGGACCCAUUCCAGACUGCUAAGACCUACAACCCCAAAUUCUUCACCAGACCACAAGCACAGUUAAUGCAACUGGUAGAAUAUGUUCCGGGAACAUGUGAAAUACCACUUUGAAGACUCUCAGAAGUGAGACUAAUGCUUUUUUCAUAGUUGCUGAAUGGGACCAAAGGACAAACAAUAGCCUGUGGACAAGUUAUGAGAGGUGAAGACCCGCCUGUGUAACAGCGAGACCAUGUCUCAAUUGAAAAAGAAAAACAACAACAACAACAAACAGAGGGAAUCCUUGUGACACACCACAUGCCGGGAAUUUCCCAAAGUGGGAAAAUCACAAGGAAGAUAGGCUAUCCAUCAAAAAAAUGACAGCUCCAGAGGCCCAUACCCCUUCACAUGGAGGAAACUGUCCAUCCUCGGAGGAUAAACCUACUUUGGGUAAUAUUGAGAUAGCCACUCACCCAAUGACACAGCUUUGAAGAACUUUUCAAAGUACGAAGAUACAACUUCAUCUGGAGACAACCCAUGUUGUGGAAUGGGAAGGGGGGUGUUACAGAAAAUAAAUGAUAUGCUUGGAUUCAGACUUGAGAUUUGGGGCUGGGAAGCAGAAGCUCCUGGCAAAACAUCAACCAUUAGCCCACACAAAUGACCCUGUUCAGGAUGCAGGAGAGGAAAUAAAUUGAAGACUAGAAGCCCUACUCCUCCACCUCCAUGGGACUCCACAAAAUCCACCAUCUGGUAUUAAAUGUGUGCACACACACACACCACUUACAAC
This 837-nucleotide long non-coding RNA is filed under the name Homo sapiens (human). RNAcentral describes it as "HSALNT0369266". The record is from RNAcentral. Lineage: Eukaryota; Metazoa; Chordata; Mammalia; Primates; Hominidae.